GAAGCGGUAGGAGGCUAGAGAGUCCCAGGAAGCGGCUCUGGGGACGAGUGUCUUGGUAACGCUUUUCCGCCCUAGGAUUCGUACUUUGGUGCCGUUUCCGAGCGUUCCGGUACCGGCUCUCAAGGUUCCUGUUUUCAGUGCAGGUUGCAGGCGGGAACCGGCCUCGUCCCAGCCCUGGGCCUGGGCGAGAGAAGGAAGCCGAAGAAAACCAACUUCGGCAACCUCCGGAGACAGGACGUUUAAAAAAGGCUAACUUGGCUGGGCGCUGAGGCUCACGCCUGUAAUCCCAGCACUUUGGGAGGCCGAGGCAGGAGGAUCACUUGAGCUCAGGAACCAGCCUGGGCAACAUGGCGAGACCCCAUGUCUAAAAAAUAUAUAUAUAUAUUAGCCGGUCAUGGUGGCGCGCGCCUGCAGUCUCAGCUACCCCGGAGGCCGACGCGGGAGGAUCGCGGGAGCCGAAAGGUCGAGGCUGCCGUGAGCCGAGGUUGCACCACUGCACUCCAGCCUGGGCGACAGCGCAAGACCCUGUCUAAAAAUAAAUUUUAAAAAAAAUUGUGAGGCCUUCAUUCUAUGCUAGUACUGUACUAGGUGCUAAUUAUUAAGUAAAACCGACUGAACUCUUGCCCUCAUGGAGCUUACAGUUUAGUGAAGACAUUACCUAAAGCAGUAUGACUAAAUAUAUAAUGACAUAUUGUAAUAGCUUACAUAACAGUAAAAUGAGAGGUUGGGGAGGGAUUAUUUAUGCUUUAAGAAGUCGGGAAUCCUGGAACGGAAUGGCAUUAGACUGAGACACGGAAGAGCCACGGGAUCUAUCGCUGGGGAAGAGCAUUCCAGACAGCGAGGAACUCGUGCCGAAUGAUCCCGCUGUGGACAGGUUGAGAGCAGAAUUUUAAUAGGCAAAAGAAAGAGACGAGCUCUCUGCUGCAGACAGGAGUCCUGGAGAAAUGGGUUGCCCUCUUUUUUCUUUUUCUUUUUUUGGGACAGUCUCUCACUGUCACCCAGGCUGGAAUUCAGUGGCGCAUUCAUACCUCGCUGCAGCCUCAACCUCCCAGGCUCAAUCGAUCCUCCCACCUCAGCCUCCCGAGUAGCUGGGACUCUAGGUAUUUAACCAUUUUUCUAUUGGGAUUUGGUCUUCUCCACCCCCCAUCACAGAUUUUUGUAAUUAGAGGGCACUUUUCCAAACAAAUGAUUCUUAAGGUCCUGCUAUCUCUGAAUAAUAUUUUUAUAGAACAAGCAUAACUAUAAUUGGAUCAAUCAUCUAACCUUUCAGAUCCUCAACUUAGUCUUCUGUUAAUGAGAGGAUUAAAUCCAUGAGUUAAAUGUUCCCUAAGAAUCAGUGUGUCUCCAACUUCAGUGUACAAACAGCAGGUCACCCAAGGAUCGCAGUGGGACGCAGACGCUGAUUCCGCAGUUGUGGACUUGGUGGAGGUGGGCGCUCUCUCAGUCCAUCUGGGCUGCUAUACAAAGUGCCACAGACGGAGUGGCUUACGAACAGCAGACGCUCAUUUCUCACUCUCUGGAGACUGGAAGCCCAAGAUCAAGGUGGCAGAAAAUGCCGUGUCUGAAGAGGAACCGUUUCCUUGUUCACAGCCUCUUCUCGCUGUGUCCUCGCAGAAGGGCUGAGGGAGCUCUCCAGGGGCCUCCUUCAUAAGGGCACUCAUGCCAUCGUGGGACUCCGCUCUCACGACCUCAUCACCUCCCAAAGACCAUCACUUUGGGGCCGGCAGAGCCUUUAUUAUUAUCAUCGUCCGUGGACCAGUGCAAGUGAGAGGAAUGUGCGAGGCUGUAAUGAGGGUGACCUCCUGGGUUAGCACACGCCCAACUGAAGCAAGGUCACGGGCUUGCUCUGUAAAGUCAAGGCCACUUUUCCUGUAUGGCAGUAAACCAUCUCUAGACAUGGGCGACCUGUGCAUAUAUGGAAGGAGAGAACAGAAUUGGAGCAAUGCACCAGAUGCACACAACCAGCAAACGUAGAGCUGGAAUCCGAAGUCAAUGCAUGUGAACGUCACAGCUCAGAGAGAGGCGGUGAGCAGGAGAGGACUGGGUGAAAAUGGUUCGCACACACACCUUUGUCUUCAUCAUUUAGUUCUCCAGGGUGUCACAUGGACUACGCCACUUGACCUCCACAGUGAUUCUGUGGCACUUGUGCACCAGGAACUUUAUCCCUAUUUUGCCAGCAAGGAAACUUAGGUUUGGAGCGGGUAAAUCACCGCACAAAGCCUUACUGUAAAGAGCGCCAGGCCUCAAACUUUUGCUGGCAUUGUCCUUCGCAGGCUUACUUUAGGGCCUGUCAUUUACUGGGGUGAAACACAAAAGUUCCUUGUCUCCGAAAGACUGCAAUUAAAGUGCCAUUAGCACAGUAAUGUGCCAGCCAGUUGUUCCUUGGGCCGCAAGGGGGCAUGUCUACUGCUGUUCAGUCUCAGUGGGUAAACUGGAGAGUCCUCCCACAACGAGCAGAUUCCGAGGGGAUGUGUACACAGAAGGACUCACGGGUUGGGGAGGCAGCAGUGGCAGUGGCGUUCUGUCCGAGCCUGAUUGUGUUGCUGUAAAGGAAUACUCGAGGCUGGGUAACUUAUGAAGAAAAGAGGUUUAUUUGGCUCAAGGUUCUGCAGACUGUACAAGAAGCAUGGCUCCAGCAUCUGCUUCUGGUAAUGCCCUCGGGGAGCUUCCACUCAUGGCAGAAGGGGAGCUGGCAUCAGAUGGCAAGAGAGGAGUGUGGGAGGUGCCAGGCUCGUUUCAACAUCAGCUCUGGCAAGAACUAACAGAGCAAGAACUCACUCUUUCCCGAAGGGACAAGAGGAUGUCACCAAGAGGCACAUGACCCCAAGACUCCCAAUAGGCUGCACCACCAACACCAGGAAUCAAAUUUCAACAUGAGAUUUGGAGGGACCAGGUAUGCAAUCUAUCUAUCCACUCCAAGCAUCCAUUUGACACCCAGAAUGCAUUAUUUCAGCACCCGUAUCCAUUCAACGAAAGUAUUUUUAAUUAUAAUCAUGUAAUAGGAAUAAUCGUCAUUUUCCUAAUUAUUCUUUGGUUUUAAAACCAAGAAUUGGUGGGGCAUGGUGGCUCACACCUGCACUCCCAGCACUUUGGGAGGCCUCAGGUAGAUCACUUGAGGUCAGGAGUUAGAGACCAGCCUGGCCAACAUGGCGAUACCCCGUCUCUACUAAAAAUACAAAAAUUAGCUGGGCGUGGUGGCGGGCGCUUGUAAUCCCAGCUACUGGGGAGGCUGAGACAGGAGAAUCACUUGAACACAAGAGGUGGAGGUUGCAGUGAGCCAAGAUCGUGCCACUGCACACCAGCCUGGGUGAUGAGAGUGAAACUCCAUCUCCAAAAAAAACAAAAACAAA
Molecule: long non-coding RNA, 3350 nt
Organism: Pongo pygmaeus (Bornean orangutan)
Lineage: Eukaryota; Metazoa; Chordata; Mammalia; Primates; Hominidae
Exons: 4
Source: RefSeq, a predicted model, not a curated record